Molecule: long non-coding RNA, 1082 nt
Organism: Dreissena polymorpha
Lineage: Eukaryota; Metazoa; Mollusca; Bivalvia; Myida; Dreissenidae
Exons: 2
Source: RefSeq, a predicted model, not a curated record
UGCUUGGACCUAGAGUCUUGAAACUUGACAUGAAGGUUGGCCAGAACUAGUAAGUAACCCCUGGACAUUUCAAGGUCAUUCAUUUGAAGGUCAAGGUCACUGUGACCUUGAAUGUAAAAAUUUUAAAGUUCUUAUUUCAUGUUAUAACUUUGGUAUGCUUGUACCUAGAGUCUUCAAACUUGAAAUAAAGAUUGGCCAGUACUAGAAGAUGACCACUGGUCAUUUCAAUGUCAUUCAUUUGAAGGUCAAGGUCACUGUGACCUUAAAUGUUAAAAUGUUAAAAUUGUUAUAACUUUGGUAUGCUUGGACAUAGAGUCUUCAAACUUGACAUGAAGGUUUGCAAGCACACUUAGAUGACCACUGGUCAUUAUAAGGUCAUUCAUUCUAAGGUCAAGGUCACACAAGGUCACUGUGACCUUAAAUGUUAAAAUGUUAAAAUUGUUAUAACUUUGGUAUGCUUGGACAUAGAGUCUUCAAACUUGACAUGAAGGUUUGCAAGCACACUUAGAUGACCACUGGUCAUUUCAAGGUCAUUCAUUCUAAGGUCAAGGUCACUGUGACCUUAAAUGUUAUUGUUGUUCAUGUAUCCUACCGUAGCUCAAAUAUCCCCCGAUGGAUUUUUUAUACGCCCGUCUAUGACGGGACGUAUUAUGGUAUACCCCGCGUCCGUCUGUCCGUCCGUCCGUCCGUCCGUCUGUUAAUGUCGUACACUACGUCAAAUAUCCUUUGACAGAUUUUCUUCAAAUUUUAACACAAUCUUAAUAUUGAUAAACCCUGAUCCCCUUUCGUUUUUGACGGAAUUCUGAAUUGUCGUUCCAGAGUUAUGGGACUUUGUUCGUCAAAAUUUCGUGAUUUCAUUGAAUGUCCUACUGUAGCUCAAAUAUCCUUCGAUGGAUUUUUUUCAAAUUUCAACACAAUCUUAAUAUUGAUAAACCCUGAUCCCCUUUCGUUUUUGACGGAAUUCUGAAUUGUCGUUCCAGAGUUAUGGGACUUUGUUCGUCAAAAUUUCGUGAUUUCCAUGCUCAUGUACUUAUAAAAUAAACCAUGUAUUCAAAUACAAAUAAACUGAAGUAAAAAAAUUA